GGAAUAUUGGUCAAUGGGCGUAAGCCUGAACCAGCCAAGUAGCGUGCAGGAUGACGGCCCUAUGGGUUGUAAACUGCUUUUAUGCGGGGAUAAAGUCACCUACGUGUAGGUGUUUGUAGGUACCGCAUGAAUAAGGACCGGCUAAUUCCGUGCCAGCAGCCGCGGUAAUACGGAAGGUCCGGGCGUUAUCCGGAUUCAUUGGGUUUAAAGGGAGCGCCGGCUGAUGAUUAAGCGUGACGUGAAAUGUAGCCGCUCAACGGCUGAACUGCGUCGCGAACUGGUUAUCUUGAGUGAGUUCGAUGUUGGCGGAAUUCGUGGUGUAGCGGUGAAAUGCGUAGAUAUCACGAAGAACUCCGAUUGCGAAGGCAGCCAACAAGGCCUUUACUGACGCUAAAGCUCGAAGGUGCGGGUAUCGAACA
RNAcentral lists this ribosomal RNA (419 nucleotides) under uncultured Prevotella sp. RNAcentral's name for it is "bacterial SSU rRNA". It matches the Rfam family "Bacterial small subunit ribosomal RNA", at positions 358 to 774 of the family's 1533-position model. Lineage: Bacteria; Pseudomonadati; Bacteroidota; Bacteroidia; Bacteroidales; Prevotellaceae. The record is from RNAcentral.